RNAcentral lists this ribosomal RNA (1688 nucleotides) under Escherichia coli. RNAcentral describes it as "bacterial LSU rRNA". It matches the Rfam family "Bacterial large subunit ribosomal RNA", at positions 1271 to 2925 of the family's 2925-position model. Lineage: Bacteria; Pseudomonadati; Pseudomonadota; Gammaproteobacteria; Enterobacterales; Enterobacteriaceae. The record is from RNAcentral.
UGCUGGAGGUAUCAGAAGUGCGAAUGCUGACAUAAGUAACGAUAAAGCGGGUGAAAAGCCCGCUCGCCGGAAGACCAAGGGUUCCUGUCCAACGUUAAUCGGGGCAGGGUGAGUCGACCCCUAAGGCGAGGCCGAAAGGCGUAGUCGAUGGGAAACAGGUUAAUAUUCCUGUACUUGGUGUUACUGCGAAGGGGGGACGGAGAAGGCUAUGUUGGCCGGGCGACGGUUGUCCCGGUUUAAGCGUGUAGGCUGGUUUUCCAGGCAAAUCCGGAAAAUCAAGGCUGAGGCGUGAUGACGAGGCACUACGGUGCUGAAGCAACAAAUGCCCUGCUUCCAGGAAAAGCCUCUAAGCAUCAGGUAACAUCAAAUCGUACCCCAAACCGACACAGGUGGUCAGGUAGAGAAUACCAAGGCGCUUGAGAGAACUCGGGUGAAGGAACUAGGCAAAAUGGUGCCGUAACUUCGGGAGAAGGCACGCUGAUAUGUAGGUGAAGCGACUUGCUCGUGGAGCUGAAAUCAGUCGAAGAUACCAGCUGGCUGCAACUGUUUAUUAAAAACACAGCACUGUGCAAACACGAAAGUGGACGUAUACGGUGUGACGCCUGCCCGGUGCCGGAAGGUUAAUUGAUGGGGUUAGCGGUAACGCGAAGCUCUUGAUCGAAGCCCCGGUAAACGGCGGCCGUAACUAUAACGGUCCUAAGGUAGCGAAAUUCCUUGUCGGGUAAGUUCCGACCUGCACGAAUGGCGUAAUGAUGGCCAGGCUGUCUCCACCCGAGACUCAGUGAAAUUGAACUCGCUGUGAAGAUGCAGUGUACCCGCGGCAAGACGGAAAGACCCCGUGAACCUUUACUAUAGCUUGACACUGAACAUUGAGCCUUGAUGUGUAGGAUAGGUGGGAGGCUUUGAAGUGUGGACGCCAGUCUGCAUGGAGCCGACCUUGAAAUACCACCCUUUAAUGUUUGAUGUUCUAACGUUGGCCCCUGAUCGGGGUUGCGGACAGUGUCUGGUGGGUAGUUUGACUGGGGCGGUCUCCUCCUAAAGAGUAACGGAGGAGCACGAAGGUUGGCUAAUCCUGGUCGGACAUCAGGAGGUUAGUGCAAUGGCAUAAGCCAGCUUGACUGCGAGCGUGACGGCGCGAGCAGGUGCGAAAGCAGGUCAUAGUGAUCCGGUGGUUCUGAAUGGAAGGGCCAUCGCUCAACGGAUAAAAGGUACUCCGGGGAUAACAGGCUGAUACCGCCCAAGAGUUCAUAUCGACGGCGGUGUUUGGCACCUCGAUGUCGGCUCAUCACAUCCUGGGGCUGAAGUAGGUCCCAAGGGUAUGGCUGUUCGCCAUUUAAAGUGGUACGCGAGCUGGGUUUAGAACGUCGUGAGACAGUUCGGUCCCUAUCUGCCGUGGGCGCUGGAGAACUGAGGGGGGCUGCUCCUAGUACGAGAGGACCGGAGUGGACGCAUCACUGGUGUUCGGGUUGUCAUGCCAAUGGCACUGCCCGGUAGCUAAAUGCGGAAGAGAUAAGUGCUGAAAGCAUCUAAGCACGAAACUUGCCCCGAGAUGAGUUCUCCCUGACCCUUUAAGGGUCCUGAAGGAACGUUGAAGACGACGACGUUGAUAGGCCGGGUGUGUAAGCGCAGCGAUGCGUUGAGCUAACCGGUACUAAUGAACCGUGAGGCUUAACCUUACAACGCCGAAG